Long non-coding RNA from Sphaeramia orbicularis (orbiculate cardinalfish), 143 nucleotides. RefSeq lists it as uncharacterized. The transcript is spliced from 2 exons. NCBI's taxonomy places the organism in Eukaryota, Metazoa, Chordata, Actinopteri, Kurtiformes, Apogonidae. The record is from RefSeq and is a predicted model, not a curated record.
UGGGUUUAUGUUUCCUUGUGUGCACGCACAAAGGGAGGAUAUGCCUGAGGACAACGUCUUUCUUUGCUGAUAUGUAAAUUUCCAAUACAGGUCAAGUUGAAUCCUGAAACCCUGAAGUGUGAACCGCCAAGGGCUCCCAGACU